RNAcentral lists this ribosomal RNA (789 nucleotides) under uncultured archaeon. RNAcentral's name for it is "bacterial SSU rRNA". It matches the Rfam family "Archaeal small subunit ribosomal RNA", at positions 85 to 879 of the family's 1478-position model. The record is from RNAcentral.
ACUGCUCAGUAACACGUAGUCAACAUGCCCAGGGGACGUGGAUAACCUCGGGAAACUGAGGCUAAACCGCGAUAGGCCAAGAUUUCUGGAAUGGAUCAUGGCUUAAAUCUAUAUGGCCCCUGGAUUGGACUGCGGCCGAUCAGGCUGUUGGUGAGGUAAUGGCCCACCAAACCUGUAACCGGUACGGGCUCUGAGAGGAGGAGCCCGGAGAUGGGCACUUAGACAAGGGCCCAGGCCCUAUGGGGCGCAGCAGGCGCGAAACCUCUGCAAUAAGCGAAAGCUUGACAGGGUUACUCUGAGUGAUUUCCGCUAAGGAAGUCUUUUGGCACCUCUAAAAAUGGUGCAGAAUAAGGGGUGGGCAAGUCUGGUGUCAGCCGCCGCGGUAAUACCAGCACCCCGAGUGGUCGGGACGAUUAUUGGGCCUAAAGCAUCCGUAGCCGGUCCUGCAAGUCCUCCGUUAAAUCCACCCGCUCAACGGUUGGGCCGCGGGGGAUACUACAGGGCUAGGAGGCGGGAGAGGCAAGCGGUACUCGAUGGGUAGGGGUAAAAUCCACUGAUCCAUUGAAGACCACCAGUGGCGAAGGCGGCUUGCCAGAACGCGCUCGACGGUGAGGGAUGAAAGCUGGGGGAGCAAACCGGAUUAGAUACCCGGGUAGUCCCAGCUGUAAACGAUGCAGACUCGGUGAUGGGCUGGCUUCGUGCCAACCCGGUGCCGCAGGAAGCCGUUAAGUCUGCCGCCUGGGGGGUACGGUCGCAAGACUGAAACUUAAAGGAAUUGGCGGGGAGCAC